GAUGAACGCUGGCGGCGUGCCUAAUACAUGCAAGUCGAGCGAACGGACGAGAAGCUUGCUUCUCUGAUGUUAGCGGCGGACGGGUGAGUAACACGUGGAUAACCUACCUAUAAGACUGGGAUAACUUCGGGAAACCGGAGCUAAUACCGGAUAAUAUUUUGAACCGCAUGGUUCAAAAGUGAAAGACGGUCUUGCUGUCACUUAUAGAUGGAUCCGCGCUGCAUUAGCUAGUUGGUAAGGUAACGGCUUACCAAGGCAACGAUGCAUAGCCGACCUGAGAGGGUGAUCGGCCACACUGGAACUGAGACACGGUCCAGACUCCUACGGGAGGCAGCAGUAGGGAAUCUUCCGCAAUGGGCGAAAGCCUGACGGAGCAACGCCGCGUGAGUGAUGAAGGUCUUCGGAUCGUAAAACUCUGUUAUUAGGGAAGAACAUAUGUGUAAGUAACUGUGCACAUCUUGACGGUACCUAAUCAGAAAGCCACGGCUAACUACGUGCCAGCAGCCGCGGUAAUACGUAGGUGGCAAGCGUUAUCCGGAAUUAUUGGGCGUAAAGCGCGCGUAGGCGGUUUUUUAAGUCUGAUGUGAAAGCCCACGGCUCAACCGUGGAGGGUCAUUGGAAACUGGAAAACUUGAGUGCAGAAGAGGAAAGUGGAAUUCCAUGUGUAGCGGUGAAAUGCGCAGAGAUAUGGAGGAACACCAGUGGCGAAGGCGACUUUCUGGUCUGUAACUGACGCUGAUGUGCGAAAGCGUGGGGAUCAAACAGGAUUAGAUACCCUGGUAGUCCACGCCGUAAACGAUGAGUGCUAAGUGUUAGGGGGUUUCCGCCCCUUAGUGCUGCAGCUAACGCAUUAAGCACUCCGCCUGGGGAGUACGACCGCAAGGUUGAAACUCAAAGGAAUUGACGGGGACCCGCACAAGCGGUGGAGCAUGUGGUUUAAUUCGAAGCAACGCGAAGAACCUUACCAAAUCUUGACAUCCUUUGACAACUCUAGAGAUAGAGCUUUCCCCUUCGGGGGACAAAGUGACAGGUGGUGCAUGGUUGUCGUCAGCUCGUGUCGUGAGAUGUUGGGUUAAGUCCCGCAACGAGCGCAACCCUUAAGCUUAGUUGCCAUCAUUAAGUUAGGCACUCUAAGUUGACUGCCGGUGACAAACCGGAGGAAGGUGGGGAUGACGUCAAAUCAUCAUGCCCCUUAUGAUUUGGGCUACACACGUGCUACAAUGGACAAUACAAAGGGCAGCGAAACCGCGAGGUCAAGCAAAUCCCAUAAAGUUGUUCUCAGUUCGGAUUGUAGUCUGCAACUCGACUACAUGAAGCUGGAAUCGCUAGUAAUCGUAGAUCAGCAUGCUACGGUGAAUACGUUCCCGGGUCU
This 1372-nucleotide ribosomal RNA is filed under the name uncultured bacterium. RNAcentral's name for it is "bacterial SSU rRNA". It matches the Rfam family "Bacterial small subunit ribosomal RNA", at positions 28 to 1381 of the family's 1533-position model. The record is from RNAcentral.